GGGCCCGCACAAGCGGUGGAGCAUGUGGUUUAAUUCGAUGAUACGCGAGGAACCUUACCAGGGCUUAAAUGUAAGUUGCAUGAUUCAGAAAUGAAUCUUUCUUCGGACUACUUACAAGGUGCUGCAUGGUUGUCGUCAGCUCGUGCCGUGAGGUGUCAGGUUAAGUCCUAUAACGAGCGCAACCCCUAUCGUUAGUUGCCAUCAAGUAAAGUUGGGAACUCUAGCGAGACUGCCGGUGAUAAGCCGGAGGAAGGCGGGGAUGACGUCAAAUCAUCACGGCCCUUACGUCCUGGGCUACACACGUGCUACAAUGGUCGGUACAGAGGGAAGCUACCCCGUAAGGGGAUGCG
RNAcentral lists this ribosomal RNA (350 nucleotides) under uncultured bacterium. RNAcentral describes it as "bacterial SSU rRNA". It matches the Rfam family "Bacterial small subunit ribosomal RNA", at positions 917 to 1269 of the family's 1533-position model. The record is from RNAcentral.